This is a long non-coding RNA of Poeciliopsis prolifica (blackstripe livebearer), 840 nucleotides long. RefSeq lists it as uncharacterized. NCBI's taxonomy places the organism in Eukaryota, Metazoa, Chordata, Actinopteri, Cyprinodontiformes, Poeciliidae. The record is from RefSeq and is a predicted model, not a curated record. The transcript is spliced from 3 exons.
UUGUUGGUACACAUAUAUUUGCGUGUUAUAUAUAAUGUUCCGUUUAUCAGAGGCGUUAGUGCCAUUUUUUCUACCAUUAGGAUGGGGAAUAGGAUACGCAGUGUUGACUGGAUUGAAAAAGGUUUCUCUCCGGGCGCUCCGGCUUCCUGCUCCAGUCUGAAAUCACUGCUUGUUAAUUGAUCUUGAAAUUCUACUUAGGCCAAGGAAGCUGGAAGCUUGAAGAGGAUACACACUGGGAGCGGAGGAGAAGGGGGGAGCGCUGUCGUUGUGUAAGGUUGUGUGAUUGCGAGAGCGAAGCUGAGCUGCUGAGGCCCUGAUAAGACGCUGAUGGUGUGCAGAAGAAGCAUCAGCGGGUUAUGAUAACGCCAAAGUAAACAUUGGCCCAAGCUUGGCAAACGUAGGUCACACACUGUAAAAUGGUUCACGUUUCGAGGUGAUUUUAGUCAAGCUGAGGAGACAGGUUUUCAAUAUUAAGUGCUUAAAAUCAAAACUUAGAUUCAUCAUAUUUAUUAAAUGAUCUUGAGUGUGAACAAAAGAGAUGAUUAUAGAUUUCAAAACAGAAUCAUUUUGGAACAAAGAUGUAUCAAACCUCCCAUGAAUUAAAAACUGCUGCAGUACCUGAGUCUGAAACUCUGAAAGUGGAACCUUUCAAGCUCAACUAAUGUUGGACGAGCAAAAUAUCUGAGAAACGUUUAUGCUCAGAUGAAAAAGAUUCAGCUGUUUUGAAACAUUAACAAGUUGCAUAGAUUCAGAUUCAAAACCAGCACCAAUUAUCAAGCACGGCGGCGGCAGCAUUAUGCUGAAGGUCUUUUUUGCUAUAUAUUUGUGCACUGUUUGCAA